This 319-nucleotide ribosomal RNA is filed under the name uncultured eukaryote. Its description in RNAcentral is "partial 18S ribosomal RNA". It matches the Rfam family "Eukaryotic small subunit ribosomal RNA", at positions 1470 to 1796 of the family's 1831-position model. The record is from RNAcentral.
CCCUUAGAUGUUCUGGGCCGCACGCGUGCUACACUGAGUGGAUCAGCGGGUCAGGUUGCGCGAAAGUGUUUCCUAAUCUUUAAAUCCGCUCGUGAUGGGGAUUGACGGUUGCAAUUUUCCGUCAUGAACGAGGAAUACCUUGUAAGCGCGGGUCAUCAUCCCGCGCUGAAUACGUCCCUGCCCUUUGUACACACCGCCCGUCGCACCUACCGAUUGAAUGUUUCGGUGAAGAUUCCGGAUAGGACUUUUUUGAUUUAUUUCAAUUUUGUCUUAAAAGCUAUCUAAACCUCAACAUUUAGAGGAAGGUGAAGUCGUAACA